CCUACGGGCGGCAGCAGUCGAGAAUCAUUCACAAUGGGGGAAACCCUGAUGGUGCGACGCCGCGUGGGGGAAUGAAGGUCUUCGGAUUGUAAACCCCUGUCAUGUGGGAGCAAAUUAAAAAGAUAGUACCACAAGAGGAAGAGACGGCUAACUCUGUGCCAGCAGCCGCGGUAAUACAGAGGUCUCAAGCGUUGUUCGGAAUCACUGGGCGUAAAGCGUGCGUAGGCUGUUUCGUAAGUCGUGUGUGAAAGGCGCGGGCUCAACCCGCGGACGGCACAUGAUACUGCGAGACUAGAGUAAUGGAGGGGGAACCGGAAUUCUCGGUGUAGCAGUGAAAUGCGUAGAUAUCGAGAGGAACACUCGUGGCGAAGGCGGGUUCCUAGACAUUAACUGACGCUGAGGCACGAAGGCCAGGGGAGCGAAAGGGAUUAGAUACCCCUGUAGUC
Molecule: ribosomal RNA, 446 nt
Filed under: uncultured bacterium
Lineage: Bacteria
Description: partial 16S ribosomal RNA
Rfam family: Bacterial small subunit ribosomal RNA
Source: RNAcentral